UAAUAAGUGUUUUAUGGCACUUUUUAAAUCCAUAUCCACCUUGUGUGCAAUGCAGUCGAUCUUCUUCAUGGAGAUCGACCAAACAUCAACCUUUAUCUUUUAACUCUUUGUCUGAAAAAUAUUAUGAAUAAACAAUUCAAAAUA
RNAcentral lists this unclassified non-coding RNA (144 nucleotides) under soil metagenome. Its description in RNAcentral is "partial internal transcribed spacer 1". The record is from RNAcentral.